GAUAAGGUUAAGUGAAUAAGGGCGCACGGUGGAUGCCUUGGCACUAGGAGCCGAUGAAGGACGGGACUAACACCGAUAUGCUUUGGGGAGCUGUAAGUAAGCUAUGAUCCAGAGAUUUCCGAAUGGGGGAACCCAAUAUCUUUUAUAGGAUAUUACUUUUCAGUGAAUACAUAGCUGAUUAGAGGUAGACGCAGAGAACUGAAACAUCUUAGUACCUGCAGGAAGAGAAAGAAAAUUCGAUUCCCUGAGUAGCGGCGAGCGAAACGGGAAGAGCCCAAACCAACAAGCUUGCUUGUUGGGGUUGUAGGACUCCAAUAUGGUAGUCUGUUAGUAUAGUUGAAGGAUUUGGAAAAUUCCGCUAAAGAGGGUGAAAGCCCCGUAGACGAAAUGCUGACAACACCUAGGAGGAUCCUGAGGACGGCGGAACACGAGAAAUUCCGUCGGAAUCCGCGGGGACCAUCCCGCAAGGCUAAAUACUCCCUAGUGACCGAUAGUGAACCAGUACCGUGAGGGAAAGGUGAAAAGCACCCCGGAAGGGGAGUGAAAUAGAUCCUGAAACCGUGUGCCUACAACAAGUCAAAGCUCGUUAAUGAGUGAUGGCGUGCCUUUUGUAGAAUGAACCGGCGAGUUACGAUUGCAUGCGAGGUUAAGUCGAAGAGACGGAGCCGCAGCGAAAGCGAGUCUGAAUAGGGCGAAUGAGUAUGUAGU
Molecule: ribosomal RNA, 708 nt
Filed under: Klebsiella oxytoca
Lineage: Bacteria; Pseudomonadati; Pseudomonadota; Gammaproteobacteria; Enterobacterales; Enterobacteriaceae
Description: partial 23S ribosomal RNA
Rfam family: Bacterial large subunit ribosomal RNA
Source: RNAcentral